AAGUAGGAAUGAUAUUAGUCUGUGGAUGUGGAGGUAUGUAGCACAAAGGUGUCCACUUAGUAAAAAGAGGAAUGUCCACCUAAUGGUUCCUUUAAUUAAUUGUUUGUUGAAAUAUUUAUGAAACAAACACACGUACGGAUUUGGGUAAACCCCAGUUGUUUAAAAAGAAAGGAAAUACAUCUUUAAAUUUGCAAUGUAUUAAAUACUCAAGUUGCCUCCACGAAACAGUAAGUCACUUUCCAUGGUUUGCACAAUUCAAUUCGUCGUGGAUUGUGAAUAUUCUUUUGCUGCUUUGGUCGAAUCAGUUUGGCAGUAUUCGUAGGAUUAGUGGCUCUCGUACUUGCCUAAUCACGCCCUGAGAACUAAUGUGUUUUCCUGGUUUUAUGGCUUUGUUUUUGUGAUUGGAGUUUUUCCUUCAGGGCAUCACUUUUGGGGUUCACAUGUGCUGUUGUGAAAAGCUUUCACAGAGCGUCAAUUCCAGAGACAUUUCGACAUGGCACAUGGUUCGGACAAGCCCAUGUUCGUAGCCUUAACCACAUCAAUUCCUGAAAUGACUUCUUCUGCAAGAAAUUUUUCUACUUCGUACGCUCCAACAUGCUGUUUGAUACAUUGUACAGUGAGAACUGACGUGAAUACUGAGGUAGUGAAUUCAUUCAUAUUGUUGAAGUUGUGAAGAGUUUCAUAAUCUGGUGGACUGCCGGAUCCUAGCUCAAGAAUACAACUUCAGAGAUUUGAUUGAGCUUAUGAGCAUGCAAUUGGAUAUUUGGCCAGAUAUGAGCACUUCAAAAGUUGGUUACGAUGUUUGUGGAUGAUAUUGCAAUGAGAGGUUGUCUUCUGCAGAGAGAGAGCUAUGUCGGCAUGGUUCUCGACUUCGGUUAGUAACCCAGUAAAUCUUAGUAUCCUAUUUUCAUAUUUUGUGAGAGCAAAUCCAUAGAAUGUCAACAACCAUCCACCGUUUACUGACAAUACAUUUCGAGGAAUUAUUUUUCAAUGGCCCAAGAUUUCAUGACUCGCACUCUUGGUUGUUGAUUUCAUCCUUCGUUCACGAUUGCAGCGCGUCUAACUCCUUCAGCUACCUGUGAAAAUUACGGGUGUGUGGUCGAGGCUCAGGGAUGCGAAGACAUUUGUACAUUCAUAGCAAGGAACAGUAAGCAGAACCUUCGCCUAUUAUCACAACUUUCACUAUUCCUUACCUCUACUCCAAGUGCGUACGCAAGCAUUGAGAACAAUUAGAGAAGGCGAACAAAGAGUUUCAGAAACGAAACAAGCGUAUGCUGAAUCAUUGUAUAAUUUGACUUCUCAAAGCUCAAUGGUAUGCUUACUUUGCUGUGGCUUGUGGAAUGCAGUUGCCGUAAUGAAAGGAUACACCCAGAGUGGUCAGCUGAAUCACGAACAGUACUUACUAGAAACAGCCUUAAGUGCAUUAUCAGAUACAUGGUUGCCAUAUAUUGCCAAGUUAUGAUAUUUGUAAAUCCGACGCUAAACAGUCGGUUGUUUUGAUGAGGUACUCCGCGGGGGCCCGAGCGAG
Molecule: long non-coding RNA, 1528 nt
Filed under: Physcomitrium patens
Lineage: Eukaryota; Viridiplantae; Streptophyta; Bryopsida; Funariales; Funariaceae
Description: long non-coding RNA (PPAT_LNC011169)
Source: RNAcentral